CCUUCCAAAAAAGCUUUUCUGUGUGCCAGUCCUGAGCAAGGAGAGGACUGCGGACCCAACACUGCAGCCUUUGAAGAGAAUGAGAAAAGCAGCAGUAUGCCUGCUGAGAUCAAGACCAAGGAGACGGAAGCAUCCC
Molecule: long non-coding RNA, 136 nt
Organism: Nanorana parkeri
Lineage: Eukaryota; Metazoa; Chordata; Amphibia; Anura; Dicroglossidae
Exons: 3
Source: RefSeq, a predicted model, not a curated record